ACAGCGACCACUGGAGGGUACCAUUUCGGGGUGGUUUUGGGGUAAUUUGGGGCUAUUUUGGGUUCUCUCUGGGUGCCACCCAUAGGAGAAGCAGGACAAAGUGGUUUUGGGGCGUUUUGGGGUGGUUUUGGUGUGUUUUGGGGGUGGUUUUGGUGUGGUUUUGAGCUCUGACCAUGUAUCCCAUAGGAGAAGCAGGACAAGGUGGUUUUGGGGUGUUUUGGGGGCUGUUUUGG
Molecule: long non-coding RNA, 233 nt
Organism: Neopsephotus bourkii (Bourke's parrot)
Lineage: Eukaryota; Metazoa; Chordata; Aves; Psittaciformes; Psittacidae
Exons: 3
Source: RefSeq, a predicted model, not a curated record